This 492-nucleotide ribosomal RNA is filed under the name uncultured bacterium. RNAcentral describes it as "partial 16S ribosomal RNA". It matches the Rfam family "Bacterial small subunit ribosomal RNA", at positions 29 to 507 of the family's 1533-position model. The record is from RNAcentral.
AGUGAACGCUGGCGGUAGGCCUAACACAUGCAAGUCGAACGGCAGCACAGUAAGAGCUUGCUCUUACGGGUGGCGAGUGGCGGACGGGUGAGGAAUACAUCGGAAUCUACUUUUUCGUGGGGGAUAACGUAGGGAAACUUACGCUAAUACCGCAUACCACCUACGGGUGAAAGCAGGGGAUCUUCGGACCUUGCGCGAUUGAAUGAGCCGAUGUCGGAUUAGCUAGUUGGCGGGGUAAAGGCCCACCAAGGCGACGAUCCGUAGCUGGUCUGAGAGGAUGAUCAGCCACACUGGAACUGAGACACGGUCCAGACUCCUACGGGAGGCAGCAGUGGGGAAUAUUGGACAAUGGGCGCAAGCCUGAUCCAGCCAUACCGCGUGGGUGAAGAAGGCCUUCGGGUUGUAAAGCCCUUUUGUUGGGAAAGAAAAGCAGCAGGUUAAAACCCCGCUGUUCUGACGGUACCCAAAGAAUAAGCACCGGCUAACUUCGUG